AGUGAACGCUGGCGGUAGGCCUAACACAUGCAAGUCGAACGGCAGCACAGUAAGAUCUUGCUCUUACCGGUUGCGAGUGGCGUGCGUGUGAGGAAUACAUCGGAAUCUACUUUUUCGUGGGGGAUAACGUAGGGAAACUUACGCUAAUACCGCAUACCACCUACGGGUUAAAGCAGGGGAUCUUCGGACCUUGCGCGAUUGAAUGAGCCGAUGUCGGAUUGGCUAGUUGGGGUGGUAAAGGCUCAGCAAGGCGGCGAUCCGUAGCUGGUCUGAGAGGCUGAGCAGCAACCCUGGAACUGAGACACGGGCCAGACUCCUACGGGAGGCAGCAGUGGGGAAUAUUGGACAGUGGGCGCAAGCGUGUUCCAGCCAUCCCGCGGGGGUGAAGAAGGCCGUCGGGUUGUAAAGCACUUUUGUUGGGAAAGAACAGCAGCAGGUUGAUAAACCGGUGUUCUGACGGUACCGAAAGAAGAAGCACCGGCUAACUUCGUG
RNAcentral lists this ribosomal RNA (492 nucleotides) under uncultured bacterium. Its description in RNAcentral is "partial 16S ribosomal RNA". It matches the Rfam family "Bacterial small subunit ribosomal RNA", at positions 29 to 507 of the family's 1533-position model. The record is from RNAcentral.